GGGGAAUCUUCCGCAAUGGACGAAAGUCUGACGGAGCAACGCCGCGUGAGUGAUGACGGCCUUCGGGUUGUAAAGCUCUGUUAAUCGGGACGAAUGGUUCUUGUGCGAAUAGUGCGAGGAUUUGACGGUACCGGAAUAGAAAGCCACGGCUAACUACGUGCCAGCAGCCGCGGUAAUACGUAGGUGGCAAGCGUUGUCCGGAAUUAUUGGGCGUAAAGCGCGCGCAGGCGGAUUGGUCAGUCUGUCUUAAAAGUUCGGGGCUUAACCCCGUGAUGGGAUGGAAACUGCCAAUCUAGAGUAUCGGAGAGGAAAGUGGAAUUCCUAGUGUAGCGGUGAAAUGCGUAGAUAUUAGGAAGAACGCCAGUGGCGAAGGCGACUUUCUGGACGAAAACUGACGCUGAGGCGCGAAAGCCAGGGGAGCGAACGGGAUUAGAUACCCCGGUAGUCCUGGCCGUAAACGAUGGGUACUAGGUGUAGGAGGUAUCGACCCCUUCUGUGCCGGAGUUAACGCAAUAAGUACCCCGCCUGGGGAGUACGACCGCAAGGUUG
Molecule: ribosomal RNA, 549 nt
Filed under: uncultured bacterium
Lineage: Bacteria
Description: bacterial SSU rRNA
Rfam family: Bacterial small subunit ribosomal RNA
Source: RNAcentral